Molecule: ribosomal RNA, 943 nt
Filed under: bacterium enrichment culture clone SaF1
Lineage: Bacteria
Description: bacterial SSU rRNA
Rfam family: Bacterial small subunit ribosomal RNA
Source: RNAcentral
ACAGCGCGGACGGGUGAGUAAUGCCUAGGAAUCUGCCUGAUAGUGGGGGUAAGUCCCGCAACGAGAGCGCUAAUACCGCAUACGUCCUACGGGAGAAAGCAGGGGUAAGUCCCGCAACGAGAUAUCAGAUGUUUUUAUUUCUGAUUUUCUAGCUCUGGUGGAGCGUAAUGGCUCACCAAGGCGACGAUCCGUUUCUGGUCUGAGAGGAUGAUCAGUCACAUCUGGAACUGAGACACGGUCCAGACUCCUACGGGAGGCAGCAGUGGGGAAUAUUGGACAUUGGGCGAAAGCCUGAUCCACCCAUGCCGCGUGUGUGAAGAAGGUCUUCGGAUUGUAAAGCACUUUAAGUUGGGAGGAAGGGCUGUAGAUUAAUACUUUGCUGUUUUGACGUUACCGACAGAAUAAGCACCGGCUAACUCUGUGCCAGCAGCCGCGGUAAUACAGAGGGUGCAAGCGUUAAUCGGAAUUACUGGGCGUAAAGCGCGCGUAGGUGGYUUGUUAAGUUGGAUGUGAAAUCCCCGGGCUCAACCUGGGAACUGCAUCCAAAACUGGCAAGCUAGAGUAUGGUAGAGGGUGGUGGAAUUUCCUGUGUAGCGGUGAAAUGCGUAGAUAUAGGAAGGAACACCAGUGGCGAAGGCGACCACCUGGACUGAUACUGACACUGAGGUGCGAAAGCGUGGGAGCAAACAGGAUUAGAUACCCUGGUAGUCCACGCCGAAAGCGAUGUCAACUAGCCGUUGGGAGCCUUGAGCUCUUAGUGGCGCAGCUAACGCAUUAAGUUGACCGCCUGGGGAGUACGGCCGCAAGGUUAAAACUCAAAUGAAUUGACGGGGGCUCCUAGGCCUAACAGCAUGCAAUCGAGCGGAUGAGAGGCCCUCCUCCCGGCUCAGCCUAGGCCUAACACAUGCAAGUCGAGCGGAUGAAAGGAGCUUGCUCCUGGAUA